This 1979-nucleotide long non-coding RNA is filed under the name Daphnia pulicaria. RNAcentral's name for it is "uncharacterized LOC124343410". The record is from RNAcentral. Lineage: Eukaryota; Metazoa; Arthropoda; Branchiopoda; Diplostraca; Daphniidae.
AAGGGAAUUUCCAUCUCUGCCCGCCCACUCUCCCUUAUUCUAGACGAGAGCCGAGUUUUCUUUUUACAAGAAAACGUAAUUGACUGCCAUCGUCGCAGUCCCUUUUUUGAAAUUUAUUAAUCAUUCUUCUUCUUCUCCCUCUUCUCCUUCCGUCCUUCUCGAGCGCUUAUUUCUCUCUGUCCACAAAUUCCGUGCUGUGCACAAAAGGGUCCGGAAACCUCAAAGUUUGUGUCGAGUCAAAAGGAAAAAAGAAACAAGUUGAGAGAGAGAAUGGAGGAUUUGUAGACUUGUGAAUGAAGAAGACAAGACAAAUAAAAAAAUAAGGUGUUUCGUGUGUACAUACCUGCAAAGUCUCAGGGUCUUUUGAGGAACACAGCGACAGGAAAGGAAACGCUCAUCAUGUGGGAGGAGUAUUAAAAAUGCGCCUAUAGUUCUCUGCGGCUGUGAGUGUUUAUACAUAUUUUCACGCACCACAGAUAGUAUAUACCGUUGAUCUAAAUAGAAAGCCUACCUGACUCUUAUUUUUAUUCUUUCAGGCUCUGAUUUCAAUUGCUGCGCAUCCGUUGGUAACGGAGAAAUUACCUAAACAAAAUGGUCUCCGUAUAGUAGCAGUAGUAGUAGGUGAGCACUGUCUACUGUUUCAUCGCACUGCUUCUGUGUGUUAACACAUGGGAAAGUCGGUUGAACUUAUCACUAAACUCUUCUUCUUCCCCCCUCUUUUCCCUGAACAGAAACUUCCAUGUGUGUGUGGAUGAUGGUGAUUAAAAAGGCUGGAGCAAUUCUCACGGUUACCUGCCUCUAUAUCAACCAGAAAACGACGUCCUUUUCAGACAAAAAAAAAAAAAAAAAGACGUCGAGCCGCGUGUUACAAACGCAUUCAAAAAGGUGAAACUGUCACUGGAACUGGAAGACGAGGAGAGAGUUGAGUAACAAAGUUCAAGGUGUUGCGACCUUUAGAGAAGAGAAAAAAGGCAACUCUUCCAUCCGGGUGUGAGUUCAUGUCAUCACAAAUCGUAUAACAAAACUUUUGUGGGACCGUUUUCCCUAACAUAAUAGUGCCAGUCCAUGUUUAUUAAAUUAUUAGAUUCACGACGUUUUCCCUUUCACUUUGGGACGAAUAUCGACAUCAUGCGGUUUGAAAGAAAUCAUUUCAGUCUAUGCAAUCAAGCCCUGCAAUCUAGAUGAAUGCUAUCAUGCUGAUGAUGGCCUUUGUUUGGCCCUUUUUCUCGCCUUGACACAAAGGAUUUAGCUUUGUGUACUUUGGCAUGAAUAUUGCUGGGACUUUGGGUUUCUAUACUCCCCAGCACUUGCGGGGCGUCGUGAUUGCAUUCGUUUAUAAGCUUAUACACCAUUAUGUUAUAUUUUUCAUCGCUUUUUGUGUCGAAAUAUCUUAUUGGAUUAUUAUUAUUCCCACUCGUGUUGUACAUUGACUUUGAAUACAUGAGGGUGUAGUGUACUAUUAUAGUAAUCAUAUUCCUUUCACUUUCGCUUUCGAUAUGUAAUUUUUUUUUGUUUUUAUUCGAAGGGCUUCUUUAUAUGUGCCGUUGUCUAGAAAUAAAUUUAUUCCCUCUUGUCCGCUUUUAUCUUAUAUCUUUUUUUUUUUUUGCGGUUGGGAUUUAGGGGCGGGGUCGAUUUUGACAGCUAGUAAAAGAAAAGUGUCGUCUGCUGUUGUUUUGUUUCAUAAAUGAACCUAGAUACCUUCAAGUUUACCUAAUACCAAGAAGUUUAAGAAGCAAAACGGAAUGAUAACCAUUCGAAAUUCCACCAAAGGUUCUCUUGAACUCACUUUGCAAAGUGCAACUAGAACAUUUUCCUAGCACCACAGCACUGGCACCUCAUGAUUCUCGUAGCCGGAUCAACCCCGCCCAUGGUAACAAAAACAACUGUGAAUCAUUAUUGAUUACGUAUAUUCCACUUUUUUUGUUUUUUAUUCCGCCAAGCCGGUUUAUUGUUUGCUGGUCUUUUUGUAAUGAAACUGA